AGCUUUGCACAGUGGCAGUAGCCAAUGAGGUUUAUCCAAGGCGCAAUUAUUGCUAAUUGAAAACUUUUCCCAAUACCCCACCGUGAUGACUUGCAAUACAGUCGGCACUGGCAAUUUUUGACAGUCUCUACAGAGA
This is a small nuclear RNA of Callithrix jacchus (white-tufted-ear marmoset), 136 nucleotides long. Its record names the gene U4. It matches the Rfam family "U4 spliceosomal RNA". Rfam says of the family: U4 small nuclear RNA (U4 snRNA) is a component of the major U2-dependent spliceosome. The structure of U4 snRNA from yeast and human has been reported. The record is from Ensembl. NCBI's taxonomy places the organism in Eukaryota, Metazoa, Chordata, Mammalia, Primates, Cebidae.